AAAUUGAAGAGUUUGAUCAUGGCUCAGAUUGAACGCUGGCGGCAGGCCUAACACAUGCAAGUCGAGCGGUAGCACAGAAGAGCUUGCUCUUCGGGUGACGAGCGGCGGACGGGUGAGUAAUGUCUGGGAAACUGCCUGAUGGAGGGGGAUAACUACUGGAAACGGUAGCUAAUACCGCAUAACGUCUUCGGACCAAAGAGGGGGACCUUCGGGCCUCUUGCCAUCGGAUGUGCCCAGAUGGGAUUAGCUAGUAGGUGAGGUAAUGGCUCACCUAGGCGACGAUCCCUAGCUGGUCUGAGAGGAUGACCAGCCACACUGGAACUGAGACACGGUCCAGACUCCUACGGGAGGCAGCAGUGGGGAAUAUUGCACAAUGGGCGCAAGCCUGAUGCAGCCAUGCCGCGUGUGUGAAGAAGGCCUUCGGGUUGUAAAGCACUUUCAGCGGGGAGGAAGGCGAUAAGGUUAAUAACCUUGUCGAUUGACGUUACCCGCAGAAGAAGCACCGGCUAACUCCGUGCCAGCAGCCGCGGUAAUACGGAGGGUGCAAGCGUUAAUCGGAAUGACUGGGCGUAAAGCGCACGCAGGCGGUCUGUUAAGUUGGAUGUGAAAUCCCCGGGCUUAACCUGGGAACUGCAUUCAAAACUGACAGGCUAGAGUCUUGUAGAGGGGGGUAGAAUUCCAGGUGUAGCGGUGAAAUGCGUAGAGAUCUGGAGGAAUACCGGUGGCGAAGGCGGCCCCCUGGACAAAGACUGACGCUCAGGUGCGAAAGCGUGGGGAGCAAACAGGAUUAGAUACCCUGGUAGUCCACGCUGUAAACGAUGUCGACUUGGAGGUUGUGCCCUUGAGGCGUGGCUUCCGGAGCUAACGCGUUAAGUCGACCGCCUGGGGAGUACGGCCGCAAGGUUAAAACUCAAAUGAAUUGACGGGGGCCCGCACAAGCGGUGGAGCAUGUGGUUUAAUUCGAUGCAACGCGAAGAACCUUACCUACUCUUGACAUCCACAGAAUUUGGUAGAGAUACCUUAGUGCCUUCGGGAACUGUGAGACAGGUGCUGCAUGGCUGUCGUCAGCUCGUGUUGUGAAAUGUUGGGUUAAGUCCCGCAACGAGCGCAACCCUUAUCCUUUGUUGCCAGCGAGUAAUGUCGGGAACUCAAAGGAGACUGCCGGUGAUAAACCGGAGGAAGGUGGGGAUGACGUCAAGUCAUCAUGGCCCUUACGAGUAGGGCUACACACGUGCUACAAUGGCGUAUACAAAGAGAAGCGAACUCGCGAGAGCAAGCGGACCUCAUAAAGUACGUCGUAGUCCGGAUUGGAGUCUGCAACUCGACUCCAUGAAGUCGGAAUCGCUAGUAAUCGUAGAUCAGAAUGCUACGGUGAAUACGUUCCCGGGCCUUGUACACACCGCCCGUCACACCAUGGGAGUGGGUUGCAAAAGAAGUAGGUAGCUUAACCUUCGGGAGGGCGCUUACCACUUUGUGAUUCAUGACUGGGGUGAAGUCGUAACAAGGUAACCGUAGGGGAACCUGCGGUUGGAUCACCUCCUUA
This 1543-nucleotide ribosomal RNA is filed under the name Pectobacterium parmentieri. Its description in RNAcentral is "bacterial SSU rRNA". It matches the Rfam family "Bacterial small subunit ribosomal RNA". Lineage: Bacteria; Pseudomonadati; Pseudomonadota; Gammaproteobacteria; Enterobacterales; Pectobacteriaceae. The record is from RNAcentral.